This 336-nucleotide ribosomal RNA is filed under the name uncultured bacterium. RNAcentral's name for it is "partial 16S ribosomal RNA". It matches the Rfam family "Bacterial small subunit ribosomal RNA", at positions 338 to 671 of the family's 1533-position model. The record is from RNAcentral.
CCUACGGGAGGCAGCAGUGAGGAAUAUUGGUCAAUGGGCGGAAGCCUGAACCAGCCAAGUAGCGUGCAGGAUGACGGCCCUACGGGUUGUAAACUGCUUUUAUACGGGAAUAACGCGCCUUACGUGUAGGGCUUUGCAUGUACCGUAUGAAUAAGGACCGGCUAAUUCCGUGCCAGCAGCCGCGGUAUUACGGAAGGUCCGGGCGUUAUCCGGAUUUAUUGGGGUUAAAGGGAGCGUAGGCCGCAUGUCAAGCGUGCUGUGAAAUGUCCGGGCCCAACCCGGGCCUUGCAGCGCGAACUGGGCUGCUUGAGUUCCCGGAAAGCAGGGGGAAUUCGG